GUACGGGAGGCAGCAGUCGGGAAUUUUGGGCAAUGGGCGAAAGCCUGACCCAGCAACGCCGCGUGAAGGAUGAAGUAUUUCGGUAUGUAAACUUCGAAAGAAUGGGAAGAAUAAAUGACGGUACCAUUUAUAAGCUCCGGCUAACUACGUGCCAGCAGCCGCGGUAAUACGUAGGGAGCAAGCGUUGUUCGGAUUUACUGGGCGUAAAGGGCGCGUAGGCGGCGUGGUAAGUCACUUGUGAAAUCUCUGAGCUUAACUCAGAACGGCCAAGUGAUACUGCUGUGCUAGAGUGCAGAAGGGGCAAUCGGAAUUCUUGGUGUAGCGGUGAAAUGCGUAGAUAUCAAGAGGAACACCUGAGGUGAAGACGGGUUGCUGGGCUGACACUGACGCUGAGGCGCGAAAGCCAGGGGAGCAAACGGGAUUAGAUACCCCGGUAGC
This 438-nucleotide ribosomal RNA is filed under the name uncultured bacterium. RNAcentral describes it as "bacterial SSU rRNA". It matches the Rfam family "Bacterial small subunit ribosomal RNA", at positions 339 to 794 of the family's 1533-position model. The record is from RNAcentral.